UGGGGAAUAUUGGGCAAUGGGCGAAAGCCUGACCCAGCGACGCCGCGUGGGUGAUGAAGGCCUUCGGGUUGUAAAACCCUUUCGUGCGGAAAGAAUAGUCCUGUAGCGAAUAACUACGGGAUUUGACGGUACCGCAGGAAGAAGCACCGGCUAACUCCGUGCCAGCAGCCGCGGUAAUACGGAGGGUGCAAGCGUUGUUCGGAAUUAUUGGGCGUAAAGGGCGCGUAGGUGGUUGUGAUAGUCAGAUGUGAAAUCCUUCGGCUCAACCGAAGAACUGCAUCUGAAACUUCAUAGCUCGAGUACAGGAGAGGGAAACGGAAUUCCCGGUGUAGAGGUGAAAUUCGUAGAUAUCGGGAGGAACACCAGUGGCGAAGGCGGUUUCCUGGCCUGAUACUGACG
Molecule: ribosomal RNA, 399 nt
Filed under: uncultured bacterium
Lineage: Bacteria
Description: bacterial SSU rRNA
Rfam family: Bacterial small subunit ribosomal RNA
Source: RNAcentral